AAAGCAGCGAUCUGAUUGGUUGCUAUGGGCAACUUCUCCUCUCCACAGGUUUUGAUGGAUUUCACCCAAUAGGCCUAGAGAAAGCAGCUUAGCAGAAGAUAAUAGAAGAUCAGGGAUUGCUCCCAUAAUCGGACCGUGAUGACUCCUCCACCAGUGAUGUAAUAGGAGGAAACCAUUGGUCGAUCCCAAAUGACGGAUCUAAACACAUAAGAUUUCCUACAACUGAUCUGCGACUCAUCUGCAUUGUGUGAACAGAAAAUACCCUGAAAAUAUAUCAGCCCAGGCAGGUGUUGCAGUCCGGGCACAGUAUUAAGUGACAUCACCGGGGCACUUCAACCUAAGACAAGGAGGGACCGGAGAAACAAAAGAAGAUGACAUCGACCGCAUCGCGCCGACGAAAACUUAAAACAACAGCUACUCCUAAAGUAAUUGUUCCAUCCGUCCACAAAGGCGAGUUCAAUAUUUAAAGGAACACUACUACCCGCCCCAAAACAUAUUUUAUAACUAUUAUAAUACAAGACAAUAGUUUAUUACCUUAUGGGUUUAGUUUUGAUUUAAAGGUUUUCUAAAUAUUAUUGUUUUUGAAAGUUGGGAAAUUUUUUGUUUCCUUGCGAAGGUGUCAAAAUAAUUGCAGCAGGUGAUUUCGAAGGAUGCAGACUAUAGCGUGAUGGAGGCACUAAUGUUUUCCCAUGUGAUCCCAAAAAGUUAACAAUCAUUUUAUAUGUAAUAUAUAUUUUUGAAAACAAUACAAAAAAUAGUAAAAAUUUUGGUUAACCGUUUUAAAUCGGGUGUAUUCUGCCCCAGUACUUAGCUAUUUCUCAUCACUAGACUGCAUGAAGUGCAUUAAGUUUGUUGUCGAAGCGUGCAUGAAAAGUAUGAGGGUAUGUUCCCACAAUGGGGGGUCAUAUUCAAAUCUCUUCAUGUCAAAAAUUUCGCGUUUUGCGCCCAAAUUUUGUUGCGAAAAAGGUUUUAUCGGAUAUUAGUGUCAACCUUCGAUCAUUUUUACUCUUAAUAUCGGAUAGAAACUUUUUCGGGCCAAAAUUUAGCAACAAAAACGUUUCCAUCAGAUAUUCAGGACUAAUCACACCGGUUUUGCACAAGUGGGUGUGGUUAUGUAAAUUUCAUGUUUUACAUUUCCAAAGGUUUAACAGUCCAUUUUACAUAAAAAAUUUCACACCAGCUCUUUGCUAGUGUAGAAAUCA
This is a long non-coding RNA of Hyla sarda, 1202 nucleotides long. RefSeq lists it as uncharacterized. Lineage: Eukaryota; Metazoa; Chordata; Amphibia; Anura; Hylidae. The record is from RefSeq and is a predicted model, not a curated record. The transcript is spliced from 5 exons.